GGGGAAUUGACCCAUAGGGACCAGGGGGUAUUUUUGUGUAAACCAAACUGGGGUGGGAGGGCUCUAACGAGGGAACCCCAUUGUCCAGUAGGUGCUUGAUUUGUGUCUGUGUAAAGUGCAUGAGUGGUUGCAGUUAAAAAAAAACAGAAGAAUGAUAAGAGGGAUAAGAGAAAGUAGGCAUUUUGGGUUAUCUAUACAUGUUUAAAUAGAAGGGUGGUAAAU
Pelobates cultripes (western spadefoot toad) is the source of this 222-nucleotide non-coding RNA. Lineage: Eukaryota; Metazoa; Chordata; Amphibia; Anura; Pelobatidae. The record is from the annotation of a GenBank genome assembly.